RNAcentral lists this small RNA (425 nucleotides) under Mycolicibacterium sp. CBMA 213. Its description in RNAcentral is "GOLLD". It matches the Rfam family "Giant, ornate, lake- and Lactobacillales-derived (GOLLD) RNA". The record is from RNAcentral. Lineage: Bacteria; Bacillati; Actinomycetota; Actinomycetes; Mycobacteriales; Mycobacteriaceae.
CGAGGGUGUGAAGCAUUCUGUGGCUCAAAAGGUCACCGAACUUCGCGGGAGAGCACAUCCUCAGUCACGCACUAGCUCAACUGGCAGAGCAAUCGUCUCGAAAAACGAUAGGUCGUUGGUUCAAAUCCGACGUGCUACCAAGCAAAAGCCUUUCCCUGCCACGGUCCGACAGCGCCGUAAUCCUCGACCUCGCAAGGGGAAUCGAGGCAGUCGUGAACUCGCAAGGUGAUCGACUGUCCGUAAGGCGGUAGUGCAGCGCAGGAGUUAGCUGCUCCUACGCGAAGCGAAACCUGCGGAGUAGGCCGUGGCAUGACGAGUGGCUGCCGCAAGCAGCCCGGCGCGGCGGUUACCAGCGGGAGCUGGUGGACAAGUCGGGAAACGAUAAUCCGACGAGAGACCGUCACGGGUGGGUCAAGUCUCAGCCC